UGCGGAAGGAUCAUUAAAUAAUUAAUGGUUGUUGGAGAGAUUUAUUUCUUUUCUUCAGCUACAAAUUUACCGUGAACUGUAUUAUUACGCGGCGCUUGAGGAAUGCUUUCUGGUCAUAAUGGACAGGCCAGGAUAGAUGUUAACCGAGUCGCGAUCAAGCCUAGGCUUGGUGUCCUUAAUUAUUAUUAUCCAAAAGAAUUCAUUUUAAAAUAUUAUAAUAUGGCUUAAAAAACCAUUAAAACAACUUUUAACAACGGAUCUCUUGGUUCUCGCAUCGAUGAAGAACGUAGCAAAGUGCGAUAACUAGUGUGAAUUGCAUAUUCAGUGAAUCAUCGAGUCUUUGAACGCAUCUUGCGGUCGUUGGUAUUCCAACGACCACGCCUGUUUCAGUAUCAAAAACACCCCACAUUCAUAAUUUUAUUAUUAUUGAAUGGUUUUGGGAGUCUACCGGCUUUAGUGUCGGUUCUCCUUAAUAAUAUUUGGCCAAGGUUGUUCUUUCUGUCUUGCCUGAACUUUUUUUUAAUUUAAAAGAUUGUUCUUGCUAUUUUGUACAGAGGUUUCAAUAUCGUGGGCCCAUCAAAUAAUUUUUUUAAUUUUGAUCUGAAAUCAGGCGGGAUUACCCGCUGAACUUAAGCAUAUCAAUAACCCCGAAGGAAAGGAACAUUAAAUAAUUAAUGGUUGUUGGAGAGAUUUAUUUCUUUUCUUCAGCUACAAAUUUACCGUGAACUGUAUUAUUACGCGGCGCUGGAGGAAUGCUUUCUGGUCAUAAUGGACAGGCCAGGAUAGAUGUUAACCGAGUCGCGAUC
Molecule: ribosomal RNA, 806 nt
Filed under: Mucor strictus
Lineage: Eukaryota; Fungi; Mucoromycota; Mucoromycetes; Mucorales; Mucoraceae
Description: eukaryotic LSU rRNA
Rfam family: 5.8S ribosomal RNA (bases 243-395)
Source: RNAcentral